CGCCGCCUCAGCGUGGCUUGAUGAGCAGUGCCAUGUCCGCACCCAGGAUCCGAACCAACGAAACACUGGGCCGCCUGCAGCGGAGCGCGUGAACUUAACCACUUGGCCACGGGGCCAGCCCCAAGUUGCAGGUCCUCCUACUUGUGGGAUGUGGGAUACCGCCUCAACGUGGCCUGACAAGCGGUGCCAUGUCCGUGCCCAGGAUCCGAACCCUGGGCCGCCGCAGCAGGGCGUGCGAACUUAACCACUCAGCCUCGGAGCCGGCCCCUGGAGGUGGUUUUAAUUGUGUGUGAUGACGAACUGUGGCAUCUACCCUUACAACAGAGGAAAAAGUAAUCAGGAAGGAGCGGGUGCUUAAAGGAGUCAACUUAGUCCCCUGGGCUUCAAACA
This 390-nucleotide long non-coding RNA is filed under the name Equus caballus (horse). Its description in RNAcentral is "lncRNA (ENSECAG00000046616.1)". The record is from RNAcentral. Lineage: Eukaryota; Metazoa; Chordata; Mammalia; Perissodactyla; Equidae.